This 25-nucleotide transfer RNA is filed under the name Rorippa curvipes. RNAcentral describes it as "partial tRNA-Leu". Lineage: Eukaryota; Viridiplantae; Streptophyta; Magnoliopsida; Brassicales; Brassicaceae. RNAcentral also lists the same sequence under 6 other names. The record is from RNAcentral.
GAAAUCGGGUAGACGCUACGGACUU